This 669-nucleotide long non-coding RNA is filed under the name Olea europaea (common olive). RNAcentral's name for it is "long non-coding RNA (OEUR_LNC008182)". The record is from RNAcentral. Lineage: Eukaryota; Viridiplantae; Streptophyta; Magnoliopsida; Lamiales; Oleaceae.
ACUUGUAAUCUAAUUUUUGGAUAACCGAAUCAUGUUAAAGCAUGGCCCGCUCAACCAGACGCCUCCAAUUGUCACCCCAUUUUUCCUACAGACGAGAUAGGGGAACAUAAUGAUUAACAUAGGGGUGAUCGAAUACACAUACUUUGGGGUUCGAGAGUAUUAUUUAAUUCACGUGGUAUCCGAGCAAUUUGUGAGGGUCAAUCACCCAAAGUGUCUAACAUUUUCGAGUAAAUUGGCAUUUUCCUUUUCCCACUUCUUCUAAUUCUAGUUUUACUUUACCUUUAUAUUCACUUUCUAGUUUAAUUUAGGGAUGGUCACUUCGUUUAACCUUGGUUAAUGUAUUUUAAUUUGUUAUAGACUCAUCAUUUAAAUUUACGAAAUAUUUCAUUCAGAUCAAUAAUUUAAUUUGACUUGCACUUUUUAAUAUAGUGCUAAUUCAUUGAAUAGUUACAAAUUUUAGUUAAAUUCUACGACUUAUCAAAUGAAAAAUUAGAAUGUUCACUUAAAAAUUGUACGCAAAUAUACGGAAUCGAUAGCUCAACCAGAUACGGCUCCAAUUGCUACCCAUUUCACACUUCUUCUAAUCUAGUUUUACUUUGCCUUGUCAUUCAUUCAUGGGUAAUUAUAGUGAUCACCAAUAAACUUUGAACUACGUGUAACAUUGGUCAA